This 529-nucleotide ribosomal RNA is filed under the name uncultured bacterium. RNAcentral's name for it is "bacterial SSU rRNA". It matches the Rfam family "Bacterial small subunit ribosomal RNA", at positions 777 to 1304 of the family's 1533-position model. The record is from RNAcentral.
AAUAGAUACCCCGGUAGUCCACGCCGUAAACGAUGAGUGCUAAGUGUUAGAGGGUUUCCGCCCUUUAGUGCUGCAGCAAACGCAUUAAGCACUCCGCCUGGGGAGUACGGCCGCAAGGCUGAAACUCAAAGGAAUUGACGGGGACCCGCACAAGCGGUGGAGCAUGUGGUUUAAUCCGAAGCAACGCGAAGAACCUUACCAGGUCUUGACAUCCUCUGACCAUCCUAGAGAUAGGACCUUCCCCUUCGGGGGACAGAGUGACAGGUGGUGCAUGGUUGUCGUCAGCUCGUGUCGUGAGAUGUUGGGUUAAGUCCCGCAACGAGCGCAACCCUUGUCCUUAGUUGCCAGCAUUCAGUUGGGAACUCUAAGGAGACUGCCGGUGACAAACCGGAGGAAGGUGGGGAUGACGUCAAAUCAUCAUGCCCCUUAUGACCUGGGCUACACACGUGCUACAAUGGAUGGUACAAAGGGCUGCGAAGCCGCGAGGUGGAGCCAAUCCCAUAAAACCAUUCUCAGUUCGGAUUGCAGG